Molecule: long non-coding RNA, 1409 nt
Organism: Oncorhynchus tshawytscha (Chinook salmon)
Lineage: Eukaryota; Metazoa; Chordata; Actinopteri; Salmoniformes; Salmonidae
Source: Ensembl
UGCGCGCGUGUGUGUCUGCGCGUGUGUGUGUGUGUGUCUGCGCGUGUGUGUGUCUGCGCGUGUGUGUGUGUGCGCGUGUGUGUCUGCGCGUGUGUGUGUCUGCGCGCGUGUGUGUGUGUCUGCGCGCGUGUGUGUCUGCGCGCGUGUGUGUCUGCGCGUGUGUGUCAGAGUGGGCAGAUUGAGGUGUCAUGUUGUUGGAGGAACACUGUCAACAUCUGUAGUUUCUCAACAAGAACAUCGCCGGCGGCUGACAUUGUUUUGAACGCUGCCCUAAUUCUUGGCACACGGAGACGAGCGGAAAGCAAGCUAAUGACAGUCGGUCUUUCUCCCAUCCGUUAGCAUGCGUGGGCUCAGGCCUGUUCAAUCUCCCUGCCUGGCCUAUUGACAGGUGGAUGUGAGUGAAGAGGGCUGCAGAGCCACCUCUAAUUCAGACGGUUAAUAGGCUUGAGUCUUGAGAGCCUGUCGGUGGUGCAGCCGCGGCAGCAGGGAAUGAUUCAGCUUUUAACUGACUGGUAAACAAUGGCUGGCCAAGACGAAGGAGACGGUUUCACUUCUGACUGAUAUGGUGUCAGAUCAAAGAUUGUUUAUGAGAAGGAUGUUCUGCGGCUGUGGUUCAGACGGAUCGGGUUUCACCGUCUCCGACCGGCUAAAGGAAUUGUAAAGUGCGUAAGAGGAUUGAAAUGUUUUUUUUGUUCAAAGGACCAUUUCUCCCAUUUUCCUAAAUCACUUUUGAACUUGAUAAAGGACAGAAUCUGACGCCUUCAGCCCUCGCUCUUUGAGGUGACGCCAAUGACGUGUAUAAAAUAAUGAAAGGAAAAGCUACUGCUGGUGUGAGUCGGGUGCUGCUGUCAGAGAGGAGACCGUAAGAAGAGUGUGAGCUCCAUGUUUUCAUUAGAACAUGCAGAGGAAAUGGUUUAGUCAAUGGGGGUUAACCUUCAUUUACUCUCAGUGAAAUUCACUGUCAGUCCAGGUGCAGUAGUUCUCAAACUCAAAGCCCCAAUCUUGUGUUUCCUAGCCUGGUCCCAGAUCUGUUUUAGCACGACAAUGACCAUAGGGUUUCACAAGACAGCACAAACGCAUCUGAGACCAGGUAGUGUGUGUGUGUGUGUGUGUGUGUGUGUGUGUGUGUGUGUCUACCUGCUCCAUCUGAUCUCCCAGGUUCCAUGUCAGUCACAGGGUUCAGAUGGUCACCUCUUCACCCUCUGUGACCCUUGCCCUCUUGUGCCCUGCUCUGAUUUCAUUCUGGAGGCCAAGUCAUCGUUUGCUGAGAAAUUGCACUCUGAACCUGUCAUAACUUGAGAUCCCCUGAUUUGGAUAUUCAAUGGAUAUUGUUUGAUUCUCUUAGUCAUUGGUUGAUCAUGUCUAUUCAAUCUCAUUUCUUCACAUGAAUACCACUAUGCAUAUUUCAU